Molecule: ribosomal RNA, 492 nt
Filed under: uncultured bacterium
Lineage: Bacteria
Description: partial 16S ribosomal RNA
Rfam family: Bacterial small subunit ribosomal RNA
Source: RNAcentral
AGUGAACGCUGGCGGUAGGCCUAACACAUGCAAGUCGAACGGCAGCACAGUAAGAGCUUGCUCUUACGGGUGGCGAGUGGCGGACGGGUGAGGAAUACAUCGGAAUCUACUUUUUCGUGGGGGAUAACGUAGGGAAACUUACGCUAAUACCGCAUACGACCUACGGGUGAAAGCAGGGGAUCUUCGGACCUUGCGCGAUUGAAUGAGCCGAUGUCGGAUUAGCUAGUUGGCGGGGUAAAGGCCCACCAAGGCGACGAUCCGUAGCUGGUCUGAGAGGAUGAUCAGCCACACUGGAACUGAGACACGGCACAGACUCCUACGGGAGGCAGCAGUGGGGAAUAUUGGACAAUGGGCGCAAGCCUGAUCCAGCCAUACCGCGUGGGUGAAGAAGGCCUUCGGGUUGUAAAGCCCUUUUGUUGGGAAAGAAAAGCAGCAGGUUAAUACCCCGCUGUUCUGACGGUACCCAAAGAAUAAGCACCGGCUAACUUCGUG